AGUGAACGCUGGCGGUAGGCCUAACACAUGCAAGUCGAACGGCAGCACAGUAAGAGCUUGCUCUUACGGGUGGCGAGUGGCGGACGGGUGAGGAAUACAUCGGAAUCUACUUUUUCGUGGGGGAUAACGUAGGGAAACUUACGCUAAUACCGCAUACGACCUACGGCUGAAAGCAUGGGAUCUUCGGACCUUGCGCGAUUGAAUGAGCCGAUGUCGGAUUAGCUAGUUGGCGGGGUAAAGGCCCACCAAGGCGACGAUCCGUAGCUGGUCUGAGAGGAUGAUCAGCCAAACUGGAACUGAGACACGGUCCAGACUCCUACGGGAGGCAGCAGUGGGGAAUAUUGGACAAUGGGCGAAAGCCUGAUCCAGCCAUACCGCGUGGGUGAAGAAGGCCUUCGGGUUGUAAAGCCCUUUUGUUGGGAAAGAAAAGCAGCAGGUUAAUACCCCGCUGUUCUGACGGUACCCAAAGAAUAAGCACCGGCUAACUUCGUG
RNAcentral lists this ribosomal RNA (492 nucleotides) under uncultured bacterium. Its description in RNAcentral is "partial 16S ribosomal RNA". It matches the Rfam family "Bacterial small subunit ribosomal RNA", at positions 29 to 507 of the family's 1533-position model. The record is from RNAcentral.